Pocillopora verrucosa is the source of this 358-nucleotide non-coding RNA. The record is from RefSeq and is a predicted model, not a curated record. NCBI's taxonomy places the organism in Eukaryota, Metazoa, Cnidaria, Anthozoa, Scleractinia, Pocilloporidae.
CGCCGGUAACAUUCGAUCGAGAGAGAGAUGCAGGUUUAUGUGGAAAAAGGGAAGAUAUUUGAGAUCGAUGUAGGCAAAUACACAUAGAGAUCUGCAGAAUAAUCAGAAUUUGUUAUCUAGCAGACAGCAUGAACAACGUGCUUGAAUAAUUCCGAUGAAAAGUCUUCGGGUCACGCCACAGACGUUAGUUAGGCGGAGCUCUGCAUGGAAGUGUUCGAUGGCGAAUUUCAACACAUUACAGAGUGUAUGUAUUCAAAUGGAUACCAGUGUGCUAGCCCAAUGGCCAAUCAGGUUGCAAAAUUUGUAAGAAAUAUUAGAUCACAAGGGGAAUUAUGCAACAAUUACAAGAUGAAAACAG